This 1330-nucleotide long non-coding RNA is filed under the name Lathyrus oleraceus (garden pea). Its description in RNAcentral is "Pisum sativum (pea) long non-coding RNA (PSAT_LNC015661)". Lineage: Eukaryota; Viridiplantae; Streptophyta; Magnoliopsida; Fabales; Fabaceae. The record is from RNAcentral.
UGUAAGUAUGCAGGUUGGUGUAGCAUAGCAAAAAAUAAAUGGAAUGGGCUUGGCCCAAAAGCAAAUAAAAAAAUAAAAAGAGUAAAGCGGGCGCAAAAUAAGAGAAGCAAGGGUAACAUAGCAAAAAUAAAAUAUGGCCCAAGCUGCAAGGGCCCAAACUGAAUAAAAACAACAAAAUAACCCAAGGCUUAACGCGUAGCCCUUCAAUGGAUCCAGUGGCUCAGAUUCUACCUUUGAUCAAGCGCAUUAGGAUCAUAGGUUAUGUGUACUUUAGCCAGUUGAUUCCAUCAGAAGUCCAUAAUUGAAACACAUGGAGAAGUCACGCAUGAGGAUCAUGUACCAGAUCCCCUUUUCAAUUAUCCAAACUUAAACAAUCAGGUAGUGAUACAUGCAUUAUUUAAAUUUAAAAUAAACAAAAAUAAACCAUCAGAUCCAUCUGAUGGAGAGAGAGAGAGAGAAAGAGAGAGAGAGAGAGAGAGAGAGAGAGAGAGAGAACUUCUUCUUCUUUGUUCUCUCUUCUACCUCACGUAGAUCAGAUCAAGCAUGGAGAACAAGCAGAAUGGUGCAGAAAUACAUAAUGGAAAAUCAACAUACAUUCAUGGCAAGUGUAUUAGAAAGACUAACAAUAACAAAUUAGCUCUAGCGUUGACGAAUAAGAGGCUUAAGGUUCAUUUAAGAACUGAGCUAGAUUUGAUUUCAAUUCAAAUAAACAAGCAAUUUCAAGCAUGGAAGCAAGUUUAGCACAACCUAACAAAGCUACUCAUACAAUUAUUUCAUGGGAAAUAAGCACGAUUCAAAAAUCUAAAAAAACGUGGAAGAACAAUAUGAACAACGUGACCUAAUUUUAAAAUUAAAUGGUCGUGUUCAUGCAUUAGACCAAAUUGACACGGGGGAAGUGCUCAACAUAAUCAUAGCUACAUAGUGACAUCAAGUUUUUGCGCAAAAAGUGAAAGAUUAUACAUGAUCAGAGAGCGUGAUUUUUCGGUGAAUAUGACGUUUUUGGAGAAGAUCUCCAUAUUCCAGUGAGGAUCAACUUUUUCAGAUACAUCUUUUUCCUUGCUUUUUUCUGAAUGAUUUUCUCCUUAUGCUACUUCUACCACUCUUCUUCUUCUUAAUUCCCACUUAGUUAAUACGUGAAAUCAAGGAAAUUGUGUCGCUCUGUUUUGGUGCAAGCUUUUGUGAUUUUCAUUUUUUCUUAUCUUCUUAUUGAAGUGUGUUUAUAUAGGCAAUGAGAGCGAGGUGAUAAGCAUGUGUGAUCCUUGUAAGUGUGUGAAAAAAAUAAAGAUAUUUUGAGGAUUUGGUAGGAAUUCGUGUGAACUCAAGGGUGAAG